CAGUUUGUUAACUUUGAGCUCCUGUGGUGUAACCAGCCGCCCUUUAGUGAGAGAGAAUUAGUCUGUUUAGCAGAAGGCAUCACAUCCCUCUGCUUAUCUCCCAUGCUGCUGCUCUCCCCAGCAGCCGCACGCCUUGGUGCCUGCUGUCCCACACGUCCGGGGCUGCUGUACAGAGCACUCCUUAUACAGACGUCUCUUGGCAUGAAGGCGCUCCCCGGGAGCAGGACUGUAGAUUGAAAUGCUGCCUUCUUGGAAUAAGCAAAUGCCAGGGGUUUAUUUCCUAUUAAGCUAGCAGAUAGUUUGUGCAUUUAGCUGCAGUUUGCUGUCUCCAAACAGAUAAGGGUGGAUACUUGUUGUUUUCCUUCCUCUUUAUAUUUCCAGCCUGGGAAACAGCAAAAAGUUUGUGCAAAAGCAACAUCUGUGGGAGAGAGAGAGAGAAAAGGAUGAGGCGGGCUGGCUGGGCAGCCAGCCUCAGGAGAUGGUGAGACAGAAGAGCUAUUCAUUGUGAGAGGCAGUUGCUCCUCACCCUGCUAGACUAUAAAUUGGACACCUUAUUAAGAGCUGAUCCUCCAACAGCCCCACCCCAGGCUGUGCUCACGCUCCAGACUAGAGGAACAUAAUCCCAUUUCUCUCUGGGUGCCUGCUGUUGGGUGAGCACAUGUGUGAGCGGGACAGAGGACACGAGGCAGAAGGAAGCAGCACAUUUUUGGGUUCAACUUAGGAAAACAAGGCAAACUUUAAGGAGGGGACAGGGUGGAGGUUGGAUGGCAGUGAAGUUUGGGCUCUCACACUGUGAUGCUGUAGUUGCCUUACCAAAUAAUGAAACCAGUCUUACAUUUUUUCUUUUUCUUUUUUUUAACUUGUUUUCUCAGUUGUAACUUAAAAAUGCUGACUCACUGGCACUGUGUGCCAACACAAAUGUUGCUGCGGAAAUCAAUCAUCGUGAGAGCCUGGUGAGAUACAACUCCACAGUGUCAUGGGCUUUGAAUGGGCCUCCAAGUUUCUUCUUCAGACAGUUGGCUUGGUAACUCCCAUCGUGUCAGGUUUUUCAGAUCCAAAAACACAGAACUGCUGGAGAUUCCUUGACGUGUAUACAGGCAAAACAGAGCAAGAAAGAAUCCCGUUCAUCCUUGCUGGCCAUUCUGUUUCUGAACUGGGCCAGAAUGAAGCAUCCUACCUUAACAACAGUCCAAAACUCUGCUGGAAUUUGGACUAG
Molecule: long non-coding RNA, 1216 nt
Filed under: Coturnix japonica (Japanese quail)
Lineage: Eukaryota; Metazoa; Chordata; Aves; Galliformes; Phasianidae
Description: lncRNA (ENSCJPG00005016983.1)
Source: RNAcentral